RNA transcript from Zea mays, 352 nucleotides. RefSeq lists it as uncharacterized. The record is from RefSeq and is a predicted model, not a curated record. The transcript has 3 exons. NCBI's taxonomy places the organism in Eukaryota, Viridiplantae, Streptophyta, Magnoliopsida, Poales, Poaceae.
ACAGCCAGUGAGCGGGCAAUCAUCAUUUUAAAUCCUAUAUUUUGACUAGAGAGCUAUGCUGGUGAAGUAACUUUGUUUUUUUACUCGUGCAGGAGAUAUGCACAGCCGAUACAUUCCUCAGCAAGAUUACUUCUCAGAGGGACUCUACACGUUCGAUAUUGGGCAGAAUGACCUUGCUGAGCUUCCUAUGCCUCUUUCCCCAAAGCUGACUAAUUGGUGUACAGGGAUCCUACUCUGAUGUAAAUAAACUGUAUGACCAAGGUGCUAGCAAGUUCUGGAUUCACAACACAGGCCCCCUCGGCUGCUUGCCUCAAAACAUCGCCCUGUUCGGCAAAGACCCAUCCCAACUGGA